Long non-coding RNA from Vigna angularis (adzuki bean), 1535 nucleotides. RefSeq lists it as uncharacterized. The record is from RefSeq and is a predicted model, not a curated record. NCBI's taxonomy places the organism in Eukaryota, Viridiplantae, Streptophyta, Magnoliopsida, Fabales, Fabaceae. The transcript is spliced from 2 exons.
AAAUGGAUGGGCUUAAGCCCAAAUGAAAGGAGGUGUACGGGUGAAAACCGGGGGUGCAUGAAGGAAACAAUGUUUUUAUUUUAUUUUAUUUUAUUUAUUUUAUUUUUGUUUUUGGCUUAUUAGUGAGAGCUGCAGGCCCAAGGCCUUUCCAUUUUUCGGUUCAUGAGACCCUUAGGGAUUCCUCCCAUUCUUACCAAAAGAAGCAAAGGUGUUCAAACGGCCACCGCACGCGACGCCACUGCCUCCGCCAAAACCGACUUCCGCCAGCUGCAGUCCGAGCCAUCGCCGGUACGCUGACCACCGCCGCUCACCGCUGGAGUCCUCGCUCCCUUUUUUUCCUUCCCCUCGCGUGCGUGAGGCCGUCUCUGCCAAGCCGGCUGCCGCGAAGAGUCCUCCGCCUGAUCUCUAAUGUCGCCGGCAGUUCCCAGGCGUUUCCAAGGCCGCCACUGGCCGCAGCGUCAGAUCUUGCCCCCUCCCCGCUAUUGAUGGUGAUUUGGGAAUGGGUUGGGUUAUUUGGUUGUGUUGUGGUUAGUUUAUGGGUGAUGGUGUGAGAGGUUUUGGAGAUGAUUGAUGAAUAGGGGUUUUCGGAGUUAACAGAGAAUGGAGAGGGAUUGGGUGGAGGCUAUUCGGUGAGUGAGUGAGUUUCCCUCUUGGCUUGGGUAAUUGAAAAAUGGUAAGAAUGGGUGAUAUGGUGACGGGAAAUGUAUUGGAGGUAGUGAGUGAGUUGUGAAGAACAAAUGGUUGGGAUGAUUACGGGUGAGAGGAGCAGAGGGGUUGGAGAAUGGUCUGAGAAGUGUCUGAUAGAUGAUGGAUGUUGGCCGUGGGGUGUCGGUAGUGGUGUUUUACUGUCUGUGUGAAAAAAAAUGAAAAUGGCUUUGGUUUCUUUGACGGUUGAAAGAUGAAGUUGAAGUUGGGUGGUUACGGGUAUAUCCGUGGGCGUGUGAAUAUGGGGAUGAGUGUUUGGCUGUGUUUGAUGGGUGCUAGAGGUGAGGUUGGGCCGUGGUAAGUCUUGAACGAGUGUUGGAGAUCUAGGGUGUUGGUGACGAAAAUGAUAAAGAAGAUGGACAGUAGUCAAAGGUUGAGGUUUUUUAUGGUUACAGUGGGCAGAGGUGGUUACGGGUGAAGGGAGUCAAGGAGUUUGAGGUUGAUAGCCAUGGGUGUUCCCAGUAGCCGUGUGUGUAUUGGGGAUGGUCGUGAAAGGCAAAGGCCUUGGUUGUGGCACUGGGUGAAUGAUGAUUGAAGAGUAAAAUGAAGAAGAUCCCCCCAGUAACUGUGUGUGAAUAUGGAGGAUGGAUCCUCCUCAGCAGUGGACAAUGCUUCAAGAUGAAGAAGCCUCCCUCCGUUAUUGCUUUUUUUUCGUCUCCGGAAAUUAACCGCCCCCUCUGCUCUCUCCCAAAACCAUUUAAAAACACUUUGCAUCUUCAUCACCUAUUCCCUGAUCCGGGAUCUUACCUCGUCUUUUUCUUUGGUGAGACAAAAGAAAAAACAUUGUUCAACUAAUUCCGUAAUCCGAAACUUCGUUUCCCUUUUCUUCU